UACGGAGGAUCCAAGCGUUAUCCGGAUUCACUGGGUUUAAAGGGUGCGUAGGUGGAAUGACAAGUCAGUGGUGAAAACCUGUAGCUUAACUGUAGAACUGCCAUUGAUACUGUUGUUCUUGAGUACAUUUGAUGUGAGCGGAAUGUGUCGUGUAGCGGUGAAAUGCUUAGAUAUGACACAGAACACCAAUUGCGAAGGCAGCUCACAAAACUGUAACUGACACUGAGGCACGAAAGCGUGGGGAUCAAACAGG
This 253-nucleotide ribosomal RNA is filed under the name uncultured bacterium. RNAcentral describes it as "partial 16S ribosomal RNA". It matches the Rfam family "Bacterial small subunit ribosomal RNA", at positions 524 to 776 of the family's 1533-position model. The record is from RNAcentral.